Molecule: long non-coding RNA, 1693 nt
Organism: Corapipo altera (White-ruffed manakin)
Lineage: Eukaryota; Metazoa; Chordata; Aves; Passeriformes; Pipridae
Exons: 2
Source: RefSeq, a predicted model, not a curated record
CCAGGGCUGGAUGCAGUGUGUGGCAGUGAGUGUUUGUGUUGUGAGGGAGAGACUCGCAACCAUGAGGUGAGAGGAGGGAGGCCUCCGGCCCCCUAUGCCGGGGGGCCAGGCCCUCUUCCCUUGCCGGCUAGGCUGAGGGGAGCUUGGUACAGUUUAUAACUGGACCGAGUACCCGUGGCCAAGGCUAGGGGGCUCUUUUUUUCUUCUCCCAAUGCCCGGGGAGGCGGUGGUGUGGACAUAAGGCUCAGUACUGGAGCCAAGCCAGGAGACGGGCCAAAGGGUUCGGAGGUGCCCUAUGUGGGUUUGGACGAGGGCAGCCAAAAACUGAAAGCUGCAGCAGCUAAGGAAGAGAGGAAGCCAAACUGGCAGGCUUUUUCUGGUGCUGCCUCACCAGGACUCUAAAUGAUCUUUUAUUUUAUAUCACCUUUCAAAGGUCAAUGCUCAGUCUAUUUCCUCUGUCUGUGCUGUUCCAGAUUUUGCAGACCUCUAUCAUAUCCAUAAACAUACACACUCUUUUCCAAAAGGUUUAUCUGAUGUCGGGGUUUAGAAAUGUAACAAGAACUGUUAGUGUUUACAAUAUUAGGAAUAAAUAGGUGUUCUUGCAAAACUUGUGGUGUGGUUGCAUUUGAUGCUGAGUAGUGACAAUUUACUGGUUGUUCAGUUGUUUAGUUAUAGAAAAGUGCAAUUUGCCCAGAAACAAAGGAACCAUACAAUGGGGGACACACUGUAGGCGUGUUGGGAAGGCUGUAACCCCAGAGUAUCUCAGCCAAUGGGGAAAUGGGGAGGGACCUGCAUUUCAGGCAAGGAGAUAAAAGAGGCUGUGACCUCUAUCAAGUUGAGAGACUUCACUGGGGAUUGUCUAGUGAACUCUCCCUUUUAUUCGAAUAAAAGUUUUAGUUAGCUCCUCUGUCUUUUGGACAUUUUUGAGGCUCAUAAUAACAGAAACAUAUAUAUAUAUAUAUAUGUCGCUGUUGAGACGGCCAAAGCAACACAGAAACAGUCUUUUUCCAAAAAUAGGACAGGAGAGGGAUAGGAUCUUUAUUGCAACAGAUCUCUGACAUUUGUACUCCCCAGUGUAACAUACAUGUUGCAUUAUUAUUGGUGUUUCUUCAUAAACAUACCUCAGGAUUGGCUGCCCUAUAGCAAACUCACAAUGACUCAGCAUUUGCAGACUCACAGUGACUUGCUCUAGCAAGCUCAUGGUUACUUUGCAGAAAGUUCAGGAUAUCAGCUUUUACAGUCCUGUCUUCCUUCCAACAGACCUGCUGUCAACCCUGACAUAUAUAUUUUUCAGAACAACAACAUAGAAACUACAGAUAGCUGAGCCAAGUGAUUUAAAGAAACAAUGAAGGGGGGAACUGAGGCAGUUAGCCAGGCAACAUCCAGUUACUUUUUAACCAGGUGCACUGACUUGAAGAAGUUCACAAGGUGGUCACUUAGAACUUUGGGGGGCUUCAAAGACCACCGAAGACCACUGAUGAAGACCCUCAAAGACCUUAUAAGGAUAUGCAUGUAAUGUUAAUAAGUGUUGGGAAAUUCCGUGAAUACGUAACAGGAAUGCAGGGAAUGAAAAAUGAAUAAUCAUGUAAUGCUGACAUAUAAGCUGUAGUGAAGAUACCUCAGGGUGAAUUUUGGCAAAAUGAUAACCAGUGCACCCAGUGCUGAUUAAAGAAUGCCUUAUUUCUAAAACUUA